AAUACUAACGGGAACGCCCACCGUGUGACGUCACUACCUUAUGUGACGGCGGGCUUCUGACGCUGAUAUCGGGCACAGCGUACUUCCGGUUUCUGCUCGCACUAACAAAAUGCCUGGCGCGAAUUGUGUUUUGUUCGGAUGUUCCGCCUGCAAUAAAAGAAAUCGGGGUUGAUCAUUCUAUCGCUUACCCAAAAACAACAUAGAGUGGAGAGAGAAUCAUUACGUAUCAUACAGUCUACCAGAUCAGACCCGAUAAAUGACAAGACCUUGACAAUAUGUUCAAGACACGUUGAGUCGGAUUAUUUCGUUGAAAAAAUGUUUACAAAAAUUCUGGGACCACAUAUGGAAGAUUAAAAGAAGGGUUUGGGAGACUAUCAACCUUAAUUCUUCUACAGAAAAGCGUAACAACAAAGAAAUUGAAUCCAAGGAAGUCACCGAGUCCAAGGAAAACCGAGGAAACUCAAUGUUUACAUAUUAAAGGAAGUAACCUUUCAGAUGUUGCAGAAAUCAUUUUUAUGUCAAAUGCCUGCUUUGUGGCUAUGUCAGUCUUCAAGUGAUUAUAUCUAUCUGUUUAAAACUGAAGAUAAAAGUGUAACAUACCUUUUAACCAUUGACAAGGACUUGAAUUGUGAAGUACAAUAUAAUAAUUUUUGUUUCCUGUUCAAAUUAAAGUUACAUCUAUAGAUUUACUUAUAAGAACUGUUGAGAAUAUGAAGAUAUGUAGGGGCAUAACAUCAAAACAUUUACAGUCUUAUUUUCAAUGUCACCCUACAACUGUAAGAUAUAUCAGACAGGUUGAUCUUUUCAUGAACACAAAUAA
This is a long non-coding RNA of Patella vulgata (common limpet), 820 nucleotides long. RefSeq lists it as uncharacterized. The record is from RefSeq and is a predicted model, not a curated record. The transcript is spliced from 3 exons. Lineage: Eukaryota; Metazoa; Mollusca; Gastropoda; Patellidae.